RNAcentral lists this ribosomal RNA (429 nucleotides) under Bacillota bacterium. RNAcentral's name for it is "Firmicutes bacterium partial 16S ribosomal RNA". It matches the Rfam family "Bacterial small subunit ribosomal RNA", at positions 355 to 776 of the family's 1533-position model. The record is from RNAcentral. Lineage: Bacteria; Bacillati; Bacillota.
UAGGGAAUCUUCGGCAAUGGACGGAAGUCUGACCGAGCAACGCCGCGUGAGUGAAGAAGGCUUUCGGAUCGUAAAGCUCUGUUGUUAGAGAAGAACGUUGGUAGGAGUGGAAAAUCUACCAAGUGACGGUAACUAACCAGAAAGGGACGGCUAACUACGUGCCAGCAGCCGCGGUAAUACGUAGGUCCCGAGCGUUGUCCGGAUUUAUUGGGCGUAAAGCGAGCGCAGGCGGUUCUUUAAGUGUGAAGUUAAAGGCAGUGGCUUAACCAAUGUACGCUUUGGAAACUGGAGGACUUGAGUGCAGAAGGGGAGAGUGGAAAUCCAUGUGUAACGGUGAAAUGCGUAGAUAUAUGGAGGAACACCGGUGGCGAAAGCGGCUCUCUGGUAUGUAACUGACGCUGAGGCUCGAAAGCGUGGGGAGCAAACAGG